Molecule: ribosomal RNA, 497 nt
Filed under: uncultured bacterium
Lineage: Bacteria
Description: partial 16S ribosomal RNA
Rfam family: Bacterial small subunit ribosomal RNA
Source: RNAcentral
GAUGAACGCUGGCGGCGUGCCUAAUACAUGCAAGUCGAGCGAACAGAUAAGGAGCUUGCUCCUUUGACGUUAGCGGCGGACGGGUGAGUAACACGUGGGUAACCUACCUAUAAGACUGGGAUAACUUCGGGAAACCGGAGCUAAUACCGGAUAACAUUUGGAACCGCAUGGUUCUAAAGUGAAAGAUGGUUUUGCUAUCACUUAUAGAUGGACCCGCGCCGUAUUAGCUAGUUGGUAAGGUAACGGCUUACCAAGGCGACGAUACGUAGCCGACCUGAGAGGGUGAUCGGCCACACUGGAACUGAGACACGGUCCAGACUCCUACGGGAGGCAGCAGUGGGGAAUCUUCCGCAAUGGGCGAAAGCCUGACGGAGCAACGCCGCGUGAGUGAUGAAGGGUUUCGGCUCGUAAAACUCUGUUAUUAGGGAAGAACAAAUGUGUAAGUAACUGUGCACGUCUUGACGGUACCUAAUCAGAAAGCCACGGCUAACUACGUG